Molecule: long non-coding RNA, 218 nt
Filed under: Carica papaya (papaya)
Lineage: Eukaryota; Viridiplantae; Streptophyta; Magnoliopsida; Brassicales; Caricaceae
Description: long non-coding RNA (CPAP_LNC001449)
Source: RNAcentral
ACCACUUUUCACAUGCCACUUCAUUUAAAAGAUUACCACUUUUCACAUAUUAUUUCAUCUAAAAGAUUACCACUUUUGACAUGUCACUUCAUCCAAAAGUUUAUACUUUCUGUUAUAUCACUUCAUUUAAAAGUUACCAUUUUUUAAAUGUCACUUUAUUUAAAAUUUGUCACUUUUUGUUAUGUUAUUUCAUCUAAAAUUAUUACUUUUCAUUAUAA